UACGUAGGGUGCGAGCGUUGUCCGGAAUUAUUGGGCGUAAAGGGCUCGUAGGCGGUUUGUCGCGUCGGGAGUGAAAACACCGGGCUUAACUCGGUGCUUGCUUUCGAUACGGGCAGACUAGAGGCAUGCAGGGGAGAACGGAAUUCCAGGUGUAGCGGUGAAAUGCGUAGAUAUCUGGAGGAACACCGGUGGCGAAGGCGGCAUCCUGGACCGGCAUUGACGCUGAGGCGCGAAAGCCAGGGGAGCAAACGAG
This 253-nucleotide ribosomal RNA is filed under the name uncultured bacterium. Its description in RNAcentral is "partial 16S ribosomal RNA". It matches the Rfam family "Bacterial small subunit ribosomal RNA", at positions 524 to 776 of the family's 1533-position model. The record is from RNAcentral.